RNAcentral lists this long non-coding RNA (2505 nucleotides) under Gallus gallus (chicken). The record is from RNAcentral. Lineage: Eukaryota; Metazoa; Chordata; Aves; Galliformes; Phasianidae.
UGCAAAUGUGGCCUGUUAUUAUAUAUCGACAUCAUAAUUCAUCGGUAAAUUAUAUGGCUUAAUUUUAUUCUGAGCCCGCAGGACUUGAAUUAGAGCAUUUGUGAGGAAUGCUAACAUCUUUCUCAUUUCCAUGAUUUUGUUAUUAGUGAAAGAAAAUGUUAAGUCCAACUAUAUAGUUAAUGAUGCAGUUUGUAAUAAUCUUUGUACUUACUCUUUCUGCAUAUCUAGAUCUUGAACUGCACUAGGUGUUCUAAUCAUUCUCUACUCAAACAUUCUGAUUACGUUAUUUUUUAUGACCAGAUUAACACUUGUUGCUGAGCUAAGUGCAGUUUCUUUUGAACAAGACAGGGAUGACUUUACUAUUGGAAAACCGUUUUAAUGUUUAAUAUUUUUACAUUUAGAAAUGUUAUUUUGCUUUGGUUUGUUUCAUACAUUUAUUUUGAAUAUAUUUUUUUUUUAUUUUGUUUUCUGUUUAAUCCGAAAAUAGCUGUCCCAAGACAAAUGUGUGCAUGGACAAAGUAAUUCAUUGUGAAUGGCGCAUUGCUACAGUAAGGAAGUGAAGGACGACAUCAGACCAACUGAUCUGUUCUGCUGCAUCUCCUGGCCACUGAACUCCCACUGUCUGCACCAAGUACAGGUAGGAAAAAUUUCAUCUGUUGAAUUACACAUCAGGAAAUUUCUAGUGAAAGAGGUGGAGGUUGUUGGAGGUGAGAAGGUGAGUGUUAAUCACCUAAACCGUCCUGUGGAAAAGUGGCCUAUUGUAGUUUGUGAGUCAGGGUUUUCAUGUAAGGUGCAGAACAAACCUUCUGUAGUUUUGAGUAAAUUUCACCUGGGGUUUAGGGUAUUAUGUAGCAUAGCUCACUGCUGGGAGAACCAAGAGGAGAGGGCAAAAUAGUCAGUGGUGCAGGAGGCUGUACAGCUACAGGAGUUUUAAUGGUUUGUUGUGAGGAAGAGGGUGUGGGAGAGGGCUUAUGGGUCUCCACAUGUCUCCAAAUUGCUUCAAAGAGAAAGGAAAUAAUUUGUUUCUACUGCUUUUGGGGCAGAAUAAAGAAUAAUGGAAUUGAACUGCAGCAAGUAAGAUUUAGGCAAGACAUUUGGGGGAAAAUUUCAGUUGUAAAAAUAGUUAUGUCCUAGGUUAGAUUGCUUGGGGAGAUCCUAGAGUCUGUCAGUGCACUACUUACAAGCCAACUAACAGGCAUUUUCCAGGGGUAAUUUAAGCAGAGCAGGCUCCACUUUGGAUUAUGAAGAUGAAUUAGCUCACUUCUGCAGGUCCACCUUUCUUUUCUGUGGUACAAGUUGAUUCCAAUCAUGAAAUAGAUAGGGUUUUGCUUCUGAACCGGCUGUUUUAAGACAACAGUCAAGUGCUAUCUCUCUCCUGUCCACUGCAAAGGAUGAAGACAAGAGGAGAGACAGGUUAAUCUUGCUUUAUUUUCAGCAGUUGUUCUUUGUCGUAGAAAGGCUUUUCCUUCUAAGAAAAGUCUGUUUCUUUUGCUAUCAAGUUCGUUGCUGCUGACUACAAAUUACAGCACUUUAUUUUCUUUGUAUGGUUUUCUCUUUGCUUUGAUUGCAACUGCAGACUGUUCAGUGGAGAUGCUGAACUAUCUUGUUCACUUUCCUGUGUAGGAUAUAAUGAAGUCUUUGUUAAGUUUUAACAUUUCGUAAAUUCUGCAGAACUAUCUACAAGAUUAAAAUUGUGGACAUACCUAAGUGCCUCAGUAAACCACUGCCAUGCUUGAGGACAGUAACCCAUCACAUUUAACAUUAACAUUGAGUUCAUUAGAAUAUAGGGCUAAUGCAUUAAAAAAUGGAGCUUUAUAAUCCUUACUGGAGUUAAUGAAUUUGUAAUAUAUUUAUUGUGCUUGGUAGGGAAGAUAGGAAGUUUUUUGAAGACAUGAUCUUUUAACUGUGUCUCUCUGCUGAACCAUUGAUAUGUCAGCAGUUGGGUCUGAACUUGUCUGUAUUUGAAACCCAGUGAAAGAUUGCCAGAGCUGUUAGCUUUUAUGUUUAUUACUGUUGUUCUUCAAAUAGUUUUAUGUUUUUUUGUUUUUUUUUCCAUUUGGUUGUAUCGUGUAUCUCCAUAUAACUUAAUAUGAAAUAAUCAUCUCUGUUCAUUUUUCUUACAGUAGUAGGUUAGUUUUUGGGUUCUUCUAAAAUUAUUUCCAUAUGAAUCAGUGGAGUAGAAUGAUUCUCCUAUUAUUUUAAAUAUACUAGACAAGUACUCUGUGUUUGGUCUUUAGUGAGCCUUCUGCAUAUCUGUUGAAAAGCCAAAGUGCACUGAAGAUUAUGGAUCAGAAACUAUUGAGAGAAGUUGAACAUGUUUCUUUCAGAUUAAAAUACUUUUUCUGUUAUGUCUUUUGCCUCCAAAUAAACUUGACACAAAUGAACUUUUGGAAUUCAGUAAAACUGAUGUUAUCUAUCCUCAUUUUGAACUCAAUGAACAUUUAACCAAAGUCAUUUUGAUGGAUGACCAGAUCUCUUUGGAUUUCUUGAGGUCAGCAUGGCUCU